This 1235-nucleotide ribosomal RNA is filed under the name Escherichia coli. RNAcentral describes it as "partial 23S ribosomal RNA". It matches the Rfam family "Bacterial large subunit ribosomal RNA", at positions 1273 to 2493 of the family's 2925-position model. Lineage: Bacteria; Pseudomonadati; Pseudomonadota; Gammaproteobacteria; Enterobacterales; Enterobacteriaceae. The record is from RNAcentral.
CUGGAGGUAUCAGAAGUGCGAAUGCUGACAUAAGUAACGAUAAAGCGGGUGAAAAGCCCGCUCGCCGGAAGACCAAGGGUUCCUGUCCAACGUUAAUCGGGGCAGGGUGAGUCGACCCCUAAGGCGAGGCCGAAAGGCGUAGUCGAUGGGAAACAGGUUAAUAUUCCUGUACUUGGUGUUACUGCGAAGGGGGGACGGAGAAGGCUAUGUUGGCCGGGCGACGGUUGUCCCGGUUUAAGCGUGUAGGCUGGUUUUCCAGGCAAAUCCGGAAAAUCAAGGCUGAGGCGUGAUGACGAGGCACUACGGUGCUGAAGCAACAAAUGCCCUGCUUCCAGGAAAAGCCUCUAAGCAUCAGGUAACAUCAAAUCGUACCCCAAACCGACACAGGUGGUCAGGUAGAGAAUACCAAGGCGCUUGAGAGAACUCGGGUGAAGGAACUAGGCAAAAUGGUGCCGUAACUUCGGGAGAAGGCACGCUGAUAUGUAGGUGAAGUCCCUCGCGGAUGGAGCUGAAAUCAGUCGAAGAUACCAGCUGGCUGCAACUGUUUAUUAAAAACACAGCACUGUGCAAACACGAAAGUGGACGUAUACGGUGUGACGCCUGCCCGGUGCCGGAAGGUUAAUUGAUGGGGUCAGCGCAAGCGAAGCUCUUGAUCGAAGCCCCGGUAAACGGCGGCCGUAACUAUAACGGUCCUAAGGUAGCGAAAUUCCUUGUCGGGUAAGUUCCGACCUGCACGAAUGGCGUAAUGAUGGCCAGGCUGUCUCCACCCGAGACUCAGUGAAAUUGAACUCGCUGUGAAGAUGCAGUGUACCCGCGGCAAGACGGAAAGACCCCGUGAACCUUUACUAUAGCUUGACACUGAACAUUGAGCCUUGAUGUGUAGGAUAGGUGGGAGGCUUUGAAGUGUGGACGCCAGUCUGCAUGGAGCCGGCCUUGAAAUACCACCCUUUAAUGUUUGAUGUUCUAACGUUGACCCGUGAUCCGGGUUGCGGACAGUGUCUGGUGGGUAGUUUGACUGGGGCGGUCUCCUCCUAAAGAGUAACGGAGGAGCACGAAGGUUGGCUAAUCCUGGUCGGACAUCAGGAGGUUAGUGCAAUGGCAUAAGCCAGCUUGACUGCGAGCGUGACGGCGCGAGCAGGUGCGAAAGCAGGUCAUAGUGAUCCGGUGGUUCUGAAUGGAAGGGCCAUCGCUCAACGGAUAAAAGGUACUCCGGGGAUAACAGGCUGAUACCGCCC